RNAcentral lists this long non-coding RNA (246 nucleotides) under Mytilus galloprovincialis (Mediterranean mussel). The record is from RNAcentral. Lineage: Eukaryota; Metazoa; Mollusca; Bivalvia; Mytilida; Mytilidae.
AUAUGACAUAAAAUUGAGAAUGGAAAUGGGGAAUGUGUCAAAGAGACAACAACCCGACCAUAGAAAAAACAACAGCAGACGGUGACCAACAGGUCUUCAAUGUAGCGAGAAAUUCCCGCACCCGGAGGCGUCCUUCAGCUGGCCCCUAAACAAAUAUAUACUAGGUCAGUGAUAAUGAACGCCAUACUAAUUUCCAAAUUGUACACAAGAAACUAAAAUUAAAAUAAUACAAGACUAACAAAGGCC